Molecule: ribosomal RNA, 315 nt
Filed under: Triticum aestivum (bread wheat)
Lineage: Eukaryota; Viridiplantae; Streptophyta; Magnoliopsida; Poales; Poaceae
Description: partial small subunit ribosomal RNA
Source: RNAcentral
GAGCGAGCGAGAGGAGCCUCGGCCGCCAUGGGAUUCAUCAUGGAGUUCGCGGAGAACCUGAUCCUGCGGCUGAUGGAGGACCCGGAGCAGCGCGACGAGGCGCAGCGGGCGCACGUCUACCGGAUGAAGGAGCGGUGCGAGCGCACCAAGGCGGCCUGGGCGCUCCCGCUCCGCCCCUACGGCUUCUGGACCUUCGACCGCUUCAACUCCCAGCUCUCCUGGGACCCCCAGAUCAGCCAGGCCGCCGGCCGCCGCGACCCCUACGACGACCUCCUCGCCCGCCACGCCGGCCCCGCCCCGCCCUCCUCCUCCUGA